GGAUAGGGGUUCUGAGAGGAAGGUCCCCCACAUUGGAACUGAGACACGGUCCAAACUCCUACGGGAGGCAGCAG
Molecule: ribosomal RNA, 74 nt
Filed under: uncultured bacterium
Lineage: Bacteria
Description: partial 16S ribosomal RNA
Rfam family: Bacterial small subunit ribosomal RNA
Source: RNAcentral